UGGAUUACCAAGGCAUACAUAUUUUUUGUCAUAGGACAUCAUGCUGUGGGUGACUGGGUGAAGGUUUUCGGCUCAGGAACAAGACUUACUGUAACAGACCAACUUGCGAAAGCUCCUAGACUAUCUAUGUUCCCGGUAUCCAGAAUACACAGUAAUGGAAAGCAUGUACUGCUAUGCAAUGCACGAGACAUGUUCCCAAACUUGGUGAAAUUCAUAUGGAAUGAUGAAAGUGGAGGAGAAGUUAAACUGGAAGAUUAUGAUCUACUGGAGCAGACAGAUAAUGAGGAAGGAAUAACCAGCAUGCUCAUUGUAGACGAAAGCAAAUCGUCCAUGUUAAACAAAUACAAGUGCACCGUCAAACAUGAAAAGAAUGUAGGAAGUGUUUCCAUUCCAGAAGAUACGAAAGAUGUCAAACCACGAACGUGUCCACCACAAAACACAGCAAAUGAAGAGCAAGAGGACAAUCUAAUAUCUGGUGUGUUUGAGCACAGCCGCAGUUUGUAUCUGUUUAGCAUGACGUAUGUAAUGCUGUUCGUGAAAAACAUGCUGUAUUUCUGCAUCAUCUUUUUCUUACUGUACAAAAGGAAUUCUGCUAAUAAGGGGAUGGUCAAAGGCAAAGUUCGCUGAUCAAUUCACUGUUUUAUGUUACUGAAGAUUUUAUUUUGUCUUACAUGGUAAAAAAGUAAAUAGUAGUCAACUUUCUGAAACAUCUCCUAAAA
Molecule: non-coding RNA, 719 nt
Organism: Clarias gariepinus (North African catfish)
Lineage: Eukaryota; Metazoa; Chordata; Actinopteri; Siluriformes; Clariidae
Source: the annotation of a RefSeq genome assembly